This is a long non-coding RNA of Chelonia mydas (Green sea turtle), 1403 nucleotides long. RefSeq lists it as uncharacterized. NCBI's taxonomy places the organism in Eukaryota, Metazoa, Chordata, Testudines, Cheloniidae. The transcript is spliced from 2 exons. The record is from RefSeq and is a predicted model, not a curated record.
GCUGAGUGAGUAGGUGACCACAGCUGUGGCCAGCUCAAUUAGGGCCCAGCUGGCCCUGAUAAGAGGGCUGUGGGCCAGGACCUGGAAGUGUCUCACUCUAGCCGUGGAGUGGGAAGGGCUAGCUGCUUGGGAGCAAGGUACCUGAACUGGAGCAGUGCUGAGGAAUAGGGUUGCUCUAUUAUCCAUGAGGAGCCAAGAGCAAACCCAGGAGAUUCAUGCCAGGAUAAUGACAUAGAAGAUAACAAACCAGGAUGCUGUGGAUUGUUCAGAGACUUGAUUUAUUUACCUUGUUUCUCCACAUCCUUCAGAGGGUCAACCCCUGGCGACAGGAUAAAGAACAUUGGGGUUGCGGGUCCUGACUCCUCAAAUGAUGUUGCAAAAUCUAGAGAUCUUCCAACCACAUAUUUACUUCCCAGCUUUUCUUCAACAAAAUCUCUGCCAGAAAAACAUUGCAAGACUGUUAAUAUUCAGAAAAGCCAGAAAUACCCAGAGCAGACAGUAUAUUCCUAAGCCAAUGCACAAUCUAUUAAGUGUAUUUAUUGUAUCUUGCAAACGCAGAGAAAUAAGAAACCUCAUGAUAAGCUGGAUGCAAAAUGCAGAAUCCUAAUCAGGAUUUGUAGCUUACCAUUAGGAAUUGCUAUUUCAGUAGAAGUGUCCCUGCACAUGAUAUAUGUUUUUGAAGCCCCUGUGUGACAUAAACAAACAGAAAAUGAGAGGAAAAGAAGAGAGAACCAGCCAUGGCAGGGGAUUCUCAGGGCUGUUGUGGUGAGAGGGAUAUGUUGGGAGGUUCUGGUGACUGUCUGGAUCACAAACCUCUUUGAGACUGGAUGUGAACACAUCAUCAAUUAACUGUCAGGAUUAGUUAAUCAGAAGCCCCCCCCCCCUUGAGAUAAACGGUGGUUGUGAACCCACCCAGGAGUUUGAAUGGAGUGGAGGAAGGGGUUUUGUGGGGUGGAAGGUAGGCAGAACAGACAGAAACUGAGGACACACAGAACAGAGACUGGAAGGCAAAAAAGCAAUAAAGCCAAGCAGAAGCCUGUGAGCACGCUGUGACCCUGGGGAAAAGCUAGAGCCUUUGAGUCUGUUGGCUAAGGAGGCUUGCGGCUGUACAUCGAGAAACAGCUCCUUUUGUUCCUGGUUCCUCCUGCUCCUGGGUUCAGAGAAGCAGGACUUCAUAAAUUUCUUGCAAAUAAACAAGAUGACAUCAAAGAAAUUACCAGCCUCCAUCAAUUUCUACUUCCACCUGGACAUCUCCAGGGUUCCAAAAUCUGAUUAGCUGCUUGGAUCAAAACAGUGUAGAACAUACAGAAUGGCAGAACAGGAAGUCAAAUAGAAUCCCCAUUUUCUGGAGUCCCUUGCAAAGUUAGUAUUUUCAGCUGCCAUUUAUUUUCUCCUCUAUCUCA